Molecule: long non-coding RNA, 1636 nt
Organism: Triticum aestivum (bread wheat)
Lineage: Eukaryota; Viridiplantae; Streptophyta; Magnoliopsida; Poales; Poaceae
Exons: 2
Source: RefSeq, a predicted model, not a curated record
AGGCGCCUCCCCCACCACCGAUCCCCCCAAAACCACCUUCUUCCUCUGCCCCCACCCCACCCUAGCGCCGCCGCACCCCCGCCCCUAGCGCCGCCGCACUAUAUCCUAGCGACGCUUCCCACCCCAUCCUACAACCACCGCCCCCUCCCCGUGUCGCCCAAUCCGCCGGUUACUUGCUGCGUCGCCGCCGCCGCCUGCCUCCGGCCAUCAGCCCCUCCCCCCUUGAUGGUGACCAUGCCCGGCGCCCCCACCCCCAGCGCCUCACCUGCGACGGAUCUGGGCAGAGCUGGUCUGCUGCGCCAGUAGGAGACGGGAUCGAGCAGAACGCCGCUGACCCGCGCGUUCUCCCUCGCUGCUGGCCCUGAUGGAUCGAGCAGGCUGACCCGCAUCGGCGCCCCUCCCCGCCUCUGAUCGCCAUGGUUCCCGGCGACCCUGCCUUCUCCGUGACUGGCCAGCACCGCGCCCGCUACUUUUCCCGGACUCGCCGAUGCACGGGCCACCCGACCCCAACCCCGCUCCCACUCCUCCGAUGGAAACCACCACCCUGGCCCUGCAUCCUUCCUCCAUCGUGCUCACCCGUCGAGAGCCACAUCCUCCUGACCCCAUUUUCUCUUCUCUGUGCAGCUCGGUAGCGCGUAAAUGUGCAGUGCGGUAGUGCGUAAGCGUGAAGUGCGGCGGUGCAGGCACACCCCCUCCCCUCCCUCGUCCUCCGGCCACAUCCCCUGGGGCCCUCCCGCAGUCGAGCGACAACUCGUUCCUGUCCUCACAAGUUGCAGGUCCGCCACCCAAAGGAAGGAGCGCGGGCGGCGGGAGAAGAGAGCAGCACGCUGCCCGGUUCUCUUCCUCUUCUUCCACCGCCGCCACCGGCAGAGGAGGUCGGGCGAUGGCGCCAGAUGGGGUGCAGUCCCCUGGGAUCUCCAAGUGGUUCAAUUGCCCCAGGGUUGCAGUGCGGUUCCUCGUGAGAGGCAUGCGGCGUCCCGAGCCGUCCUGAUGCACACGGGCUUGCAGUGGAGCACCUCCUAUUCUGUGAUGCGUGGACCUAAGAUCGAGAGUUCCAUGCUCCGCGAUGGGAGAGCACCUGCCGGAAAGCCCAGCAAGCCAUCGCUGCAGUCGACGAGUGCGGCUCUGCACACGGGCAUGCAGUUCUGCCCACGGUGAAGUGCAGCUCGACCAACAGGGACCUGCAGUUCUGCCCAUGCCGUCGAAGGAUUCUAACUCUGCACAUGGGCGCGCAGUACUGCCCGUGAGGAAGUGCAGCUCGACCAACGGGGGCCUGCAGUUCUGCCCACGGUGUCGAAAGCUUCUACUAUAUAAAUGGGCGUGUAUGACUGCCGGUGGGGGUGCAGCUCGAACGAAGAACAGGGUCGACGCUGGAGUUCGGUUCAGAAGUUGGAGGUCGUGUAGCUCGAUUGGUGCUCCCCCAGUGCAGCUCAUAACAAUUUCUCUGUUUAGAUAUGCGGUGUAGAGCAUAGUUGACCGGGGAUGCUCAAGUGUAGUUUGUCUCUUUUUUCUUGAAGUAUUGUGUAGUUUGUCACUUGUGCCGUGCAGGUUCCCUUUGUCUAUGUGGAUCACUUUGUGAAAAAAGUUGUACCAAGGAGUUCACGUUUUAUUGUUUUUGGAGGAGUUUUUUUUGCAA